UACGUAGGGGGCAAGCGUUGUCCGGAAUUAUUGGGCGUAAAGAGCGCGCAGGCGGUUUGGUAAGUCGGAUGUGAAAACCCGGGGCUCAACCCCGGGCGUGCAUCUCGAUACUGCCCGACUAGAGGUAGGUAGGGGAGAUCGGAAUUCCUGGUGUAGCGGUGAAAUGCGCAGAUAUCAGGAGGAACACCGGUGGCGAAGGCGGAUCUCUGGGCCUUACCUGACGCUCAGGCGCGAAAGCUAGGGGAGCGAACAGG
Molecule: ribosomal RNA, 254 nt
Filed under: uncultured bacterium
Lineage: Bacteria
Description: partial 16S ribosomal RNA
Rfam family: Bacterial small subunit ribosomal RNA
Source: RNAcentral